This 69-nucleotide transfer RNA is filed under the name Anaplecta sp. 8 ZQW-2020. RNAcentral's name for it is "tRNA-Gln". It matches the Rfam family "tRNA". From Rfam's summary of the family: Transfer RNA (tRNA) molecules are approximately 80 nucleotides in length. Lineage: Eukaryota; Metazoa; Arthropoda; Insecta; Blattodea; Anaplectidae. The record is from RNAcentral.
UACAUUUUGGUGUAAGGUGCACGUGAGUUUUUGAUUCUUUAAGUAUUAGUUUAAUUCUAUUAAAUGUAA